Molecule: transfer RNA, 72 nt
Filed under: Candidatus Zixiibacteriota bacterium
Lineage: Bacteria; Pseudomonadati; Candidatus Zixiibacteriota
Description: candidate division Zixibacteria bacterium tRNA-Arg
Rfam family: tRNA
About the family: Transfer RNA (tRNA) molecules are approximately 80 nucleotides in length. Their secondary structure includes four short double-helical elements and three loops (D, anti-codon, and T loops). Further hydrogen bonds mediate the characteristic L-shaped molecular structure. tRNAs have two regions of fundamental functional importance: the anti-codon, which is responsible for specific mRNA codon recognition, and the 3' end, to which the tRNAs corresponding amino acid is attached (by aminoacyl-tRNA synthetases). tRNAs cope with the degeneracy of the genetic code in two manners: having more than one tRNA (with a specific anti-codon) for a particular amino acid; and 'wobble' base-pairing, i.e. permitting non-standard base-pairing at the 3rd anti-codon position.
Source: RNAcentral
GCCCCCGUGGUGUAAUGGAUAACGCAUCGGCCUCCGGAGCCGGUAAUCCAGGUUCGAUUCCUGGCGGGGGCA